UUAAGAAAAUCUAAUCCAUAGUAUGUUACUGUUAAUAACAUUAAGAGGGCCUCUUAACACCUCUUCUUAAA
This 71-nucleotide transfer RNA is filed under the name Sminthurides bifidus. RNAcentral's name for it is "tRNA-Asn". Lineage: Eukaryota; Metazoa; Arthropoda; Collembola; Symphypleona; Sminthurididae. The record is from RNAcentral.